RNAcentral lists this ribosomal RNA (486 nucleotides) under uncultured bacterium. RNAcentral describes it as "bacterial SSU rRNA". It matches the Rfam family "Bacterial small subunit ribosomal RNA", at positions 29 to 525 of the family's 1533-position model. The record is from RNAcentral.
AGUGAACGCUGGCGGCGUGCUUAACACAUGCAAGUCGAACGGUAACAGGAAGUAGCUUGCUACUUUGCUGACGAGUGGCGCACGGGUGAGUAAUAUAUAGUUAAUGUACCUCAAAGACUGGGAUAGCCACUGGAAACGGUGAUUAAUACUAGAUAUACCUUUAUAACAUAAGUUGUAAAGGGAAACGUUUUUUCGCUUUGAGAUCAGACUAUAUCCCAUCAGUUAGUUGGUAGUGUAAGAGACUACCAAGGCAAUGACGGGUAGCGGGUUUGAGAGGAUGAUCCGCCACACUGGUACUGAGACACGGACCAGACUCCUACGGGAGGCAGCAGUGAGGAAUAUUGCACAAUGGAGGAAACUCUGAUGCAGCAACGCCGCGUGGAGGAUGACGCAUUUCGGUGUGUAAACUCCUUUUAUAUGUCAAGAAAAUGACGGUAGCAUAUGAAUAAGCACCGGCUAACUCCGUGCCAGCAGCCGCGGUAAACA